RNAcentral lists this ribosomal RNA (254 nucleotides) under uncultured bacterium. RNAcentral's name for it is "partial 16S ribosomal RNA". It matches the Rfam family "Bacterial small subunit ribosomal RNA", at positions 524 to 776 of the family's 1533-position model. The record is from RNAcentral.
UACGGGGUGAGCAAGCGUUGUUCGGAUUUACUGGGCGUAAAGGGCGCGUAGGCGGCCACCGCAAGUCAAUUGUGAAAUCUCCGGGCUUAACUCAGAAAGGUCAACUGAUACUGCGGGGCUAGAGUGCGGAAGGGGCAACUGGAAUUCUCGGUGUAGCGGUGAAAUGCGUAGAUAUCGAGAGGAACACCUGCGGCGAAGGCGGGUUGCUGGGCUGAUACUGACGCUGAGGCGCGAAAGCCAGGGGAGCGAACGGG